This 951-nucleotide long non-coding RNA is filed under the name Gallus gallus (chicken). RNAcentral's name for it is "long non-coding RNA NONGGAT003817". The record is from RNAcentral. Lineage: Eukaryota; Metazoa; Chordata; Aves; Galliformes; Phasianidae.
GACUUCACCCUAAGUUUGCGCAGAAGUGGUAGGAAGUAAAGCUUCAUGAAGGCAUUGUAAUGUUAGCAGCCUGGAGUGCAAGGAAUCAGCCAUUUCACCCCACAUACUGACUGUUGGGGCUUUGAGCAAGGCAGUCUGCCCGUGGGCUGACAUUGACGGCAGAAGAGGCCAUGCGGCCUAGCAUCACGUACUGCCUGACAAAAUGUCUCCUGUGAUACUUUUGUCACCAGGACUACUGAGCUGGAUUAGAUCAGUACGGAUGUACGUUCCAUGGGUUGUCAUAGCAACGAGGAGCUAGGCAGGUGGAAAAUGGCUCCCACCUAUCUUCCCCAGAAUUCGUGGGGCUGUGUGGGAUGGAGCUGGGGGCUCAAGGCCUUGAGGCCUGGCAGCUAACAGAAUAGAGAAAGGAUGUGACUAUGAAGCAGAGAAGUGAAGAGGAUUUAACACAAACACUGAAAUAUUCCAUACCUCUAAACAUGUACUCCAUACUUUAAAGAGACCUUAUACAAUUCACAUGGAUAUAAUCCAUCCUUCCUUAAUCUGAACCCCAGCUGACUUUGAGCAGCCAAUGCGUACUCUCUAAGCACCCCAGCUAUGAGCUUCAGCAUCCCCAGAGGCAGCAGCAGUCUUGCAGAGAAUUGGUGGCAGCCUCAAGGCCCUGCCCUGCCCCCAGCCUGGAGGACUCCUGGAGCUGCAAAAUAGCCCUACUGAGGGCCUGCAGGGCAACCUUCCUGAGACUGGAGCCUCCAUCCACUGUGGUGAUAUCCCAAAGGAUACGAGGCCUCACAGCGCUGCACGCUUAUGAGGAUACAACCUUAAUACCACCAAGCAGCAAGUCACUGGGAGGGCUGCAUGUCGGUGUGAAUGCUUGUGUGGUGUAUUGCAAAUACACAAGAUAUGGCAUAUCACCAGCAAAAAUGAGUUAACUUGGAAAUUCCACCUAGGUUGGGC